Molecule: ribosomal RNA, 433 nt
Filed under: uncultured bacterium
Lineage: Bacteria
Description: partial 16S ribosomal RNA
Rfam family: Bacterial small subunit ribosomal RNA
Source: RNAcentral
AACGAACGCUGGCGGCAUGCCUAACACAUGCAAGUCGAACGAGACCUUCGGGUCUAGUGGCGCACGGGUGCGUAACGCGUGGGAACCUGCCUUUAGGUUCGGAAUAACUCAGAGAAAUUUGAGCUAAUACCGGAUGAUGUCUUCGGACCAAAGAUUUAUCGCCUUUAGAUGGGCCCGCGUUGGAUUAGCUAGUUGGUGGGGUAAAGGCCUACCAAGGCGACGAUCCAUAGCUGGUCUGAGAGGAUGAUCAGCCACACUGGGACUGAGACACGGCCCAGACUCCUACGGGAGGCAGCAGUGGGGAAUAUUGGACAAUGGGCGAAAGCCUGAUCCAUCAAGGCCGCGUGAGUGAUGAAGGCCUUAGGGUUGUAAAGCUCUUUUACCCGAGAUGAUAAUGACAGUAUCGGGAGAAUAAGCUCCGGCUAACUCCGUG